This 429-nucleotide ribosomal RNA is filed under the name Chloroflexota bacterium. RNAcentral's name for it is "Chloroflexi bacterium partial 16S ribosomal RNA". It matches the Rfam family "Bacterial small subunit ribosomal RNA", at positions 355 to 776 of the family's 1533-position model. The record is from RNAcentral. Lineage: Bacteria; Bacillati; Chloroflexota.
UGGGGAAUAUUGCACAAUGGGCGCAAGCCUGAUGCAGCCAUGCUGCGUGUAUGAAGAAGGCCUUCGGGUUGUAAAGUACUUUCAGUCGGGAGGAAGGUGGUAAGGUUAAUAACCUUAUCAAUUGACGUUACCGACAGAAGAAGCACCGGCUAACUCCGUGCCAGCAGCCGCGGUAAUACGGAGGGUGCAAGCGUUAAUCGGAAUUACUGGGCGUAAAGCGCACGCAGGCGGUUGAUUGAAUCAGAUGUGAAAUCCCCGGGCUUAACCCGGGAAUUGCAUCUGAUACUGGUCAGCUAGAGUCUUGUAGAGGGGGGUAGAAUUCCAUGUGUAGCGGUGAAAUGCGUAGAGAUGUGGAGGAAUACCGGUGGCGAAGGCGGCCCCCUGGACAAAGACUGACGCUCAGGUGCGAAAGCGUGGGGAGCAAACAGG